Long non-coding RNA from Dreissena polymorpha, 366 nucleotides. RefSeq lists it as uncharacterized. The transcript has 3 exons. The record is from RefSeq and is a predicted model, not a curated record. Lineage: Eukaryota; Metazoa; Mollusca; Bivalvia; Myida; Dreissenidae.
AACGACAGGUAGUGCCCGGUGUUUACGAGGAUGCAUUCACUGCAUACUGUUGCAUUCCUGACGAACGAAGCAAGAGAUCAGCAAACAACGACAACGUUUUCACAUGGACCUUUUCUCUGUCCAUCAGCAACAACGGAGAAUCAUACAGUCUAGAACGAAACAUAGUCGUCUAUACUCCGCGGUGUCAAGACCGGGUACUCAACACACAACAAAUUCAAUUUCGUUUAAAGUCACAUUUCUGUUACAUCAACUCCGAAUGUGUAGCGGAAAAUACAUCGAUGACAAACGAUGGAUGUCACACGUGCAAACCACAGACUAACCAAUACAAUUGGACGAACAGUUGUGGAGAUUCAAAUACCGAGGUUG